CUUUUGCUCUUUGAGGGGAUACAUACCUUCCUUGCUUUUUGAAAUUUUAUGAGGAGAAUGAGAUGCUCUUCUUUUUCUUUUCUCUCAGGUGGGUAUCUUGUACCCCUAAUUCUACUAUCGGACACUUGUCCAUUUUUACCUCUCGUCUCACUUUUUCUUUUCUUUCGAGGUUCCGGGCACUUGCCCCUUUUUAUUUCCUCGUAUCUUCUUUUUUAUUAGAGCACUCAUCUCUUGAGAUAAUAUAGCAAGUGGUAGUAACAAGAUAACUUGAGCAUUUAUUUCACAGGGAAAAACAGAAAUGUUUUUGGCUAUUCUCUCCCGUAUUAGGAGUAGAAUAUUUUUGGGUGGUUCUGGAGAUGGAAAUGAGUGGAUAUAUGUGGAUGGUACUUCCGGAGUAGAAGUAGCAUAUGUGAGUGAACGUGCAAGUGAAUCUUGAUUUUAACCACAUGACAAGCUCCUAAGGGUCUAC
RNAcentral lists this long non-coding RNA (469 nucleotides) under Sorghum bicolor (sorghum). RNAcentral describes it as "long non-coding RNA (SBIC_LNC016048)". Lineage: Eukaryota; Viridiplantae; Streptophyta; Magnoliopsida; Poales; Poaceae. The record is from RNAcentral.